Molecule: ribosomal RNA, 468 nt
Filed under: uncultured bacterium
Lineage: Bacteria
Description: partial 16S ribosomal RNA
Rfam family: Bacterial small subunit ribosomal RNA
Source: RNAcentral
GACGAACGCUGGCGGCGUGCUUAACACAUGCAAGUCGAACGGAAAGGCCCUGCUUUUGUGGGGUGCUCGAGUGGCGAACGGGUGAGUAACACGUGAGUAACCUGCCCUUGACUUUGGGAUAACUUCAGGAAACUGGGGCUAAUACCGGAUAGGAGCUCCUGCUGCAUGGUGGGGGUUGGAAAGUUUCGGCGGUUGGGGAUGGACUCGCGGCUUAUCAGCUUGUUGGUGGGGUAGUGGCUUACCAAGGCUUUGACGGGUAGCCGGCCUGAGAGGGUGACCGGCCACAUUGGGACUGAGAUACGGCCCAGACUCCUACGGGCGGCAGCAGUGGGGAAUAUUGCACAAUGGGCGGAAGCCUGAUGCAGCAACGCCGCGUGCGGGAUGACGGCCUUCGGGUUGUAAACCGCUUUCGCCUGUGACGAAGCGUGCGUGACGGUAAUGGGUAAAGAAGCACCGGCUAACUACGUG